RNAcentral lists this non-coding RNA (24 nucleotides) under Arabidopsis thaliana (thale cress). Lineage: Eukaryota; Viridiplantae; Streptophyta; Magnoliopsida; Brassicales; Brassicaceae. The record is from RNAcentral.
ACGCUUAUCCUUUGAUGAGCCGCC